CUUCGGAAAUGAGAGAGCGGCGUACGGGUGCGGAACACGUGUGCAACCUGCCUUUAUCUGGGGAUAGCCUUUCGAAAGGAAGAUUAAUACUACCAUAAUAUAUUGAACGGCAUCGUUUAAUAUUGAAAGCUCCGGCGGAUAGAGAUGGGCACGCGCAAGAUUAGCUAGUUGGUGAGGUAACGGCUCACCAAGGCAAUGAUCUUUAGGGGCCUGAGAGGGUGAUCCCCCACACUGGUACUGAGACACGGACCAGACUCCUACGGGAGGCAGCAGUGAGGAAUAUUGGUCAAUGGGUGCAAGCCUGAACCAGCCAUCCCGCGUGAAGGUACGACUGCCCCUAUGGGUUGUAAACUUCUUUUGUAUAGGGAUAAACCUUUCCACGUGUGGAAAGCUGAAGGUACUAUACGAAUAAGCACCGGCUAACUCCGUG
Molecule: ribosomal RNA, 430 nt
Filed under: uncultured bacterium
Lineage: Bacteria
Description: bacterial SSU rRNA
Rfam family: Bacterial small subunit ribosomal RNA
Source: RNAcentral